This 249-nucleotide unclassified non-coding RNA is filed under the name plant metagenome. RNAcentral's name for it is "partial contains small subunit ribosomal RNA, internal transcribed spacer 1, and 5.8S ribosomal RNA". The record is from RNAcentral.
UUUCCGUAGGUGAACCUGCGGAAGGAUCAUUAAUGUAACCGGACCGGUCCUCUGCCGUCAAACGCAGCGGAUUGUAAUGGGAGAUAUCAUACACCCCUAUGUUUAUUUACUUUUGUUGCUUUGGCGGGCCGUCCUUCUAGGCGUAGGCCCCGGCUGAUCCCGCCCGCCAGAGGACCCAAACUCUUUUAUCCGUGAUGUCUGAGUACUAUAUAAUAGUUAAAACUUUCAACAACGGAUCUCUUGGUUCUG